UCUUUCACCGGAGCUUGCUCCACCGAAAGAAAAGGAGUGGCGAACGGGUGAGUAACACGUGGGUAACCUGCCCAUCAGAAGGGGAUAACACUUGGAAACAGGUGCUAAUACCGUAUAACAAUCGAAACCGCAUGGUUUCGGUUUGAAAGGCGCUUUUGCGUCACUGAUGGAUGGACCCGCGGUGCAUUAGCUAGUUGGUGAGGUAACGGCUCACCAAGGCAACGAUGCAUAGCCGACCUGAGAGGGUGAUCGGCCACAUUGGGACUGAGACACGGCCCAAACUCCUACGGGAGGCAGCAGUAGGGAAUCUUCGGCAAUGGACGCAAGUCUGACCGAGCAACGCCGCGUGAGUGAAGAAGGUUUUCGGAUCGUAAAACUCUGUUGUUAGAGAAGAACAAGGAUGAGAGUAGAAUGUUCAUCCCUUGACGGUAUCUAACCAGAAAGCCACGGCUAACUACGUGCCAGCAGCCGCGGUAAUACGUAGGUGGCAAGCGUUGUCCGGAUUUAUUGGGCGUAAAGCGAGCGCAGGCGGUUUCUUAAGUCUGAUGUGAAAGCCCCCGGCUCAAC
RNAcentral lists this ribosomal RNA (567 nucleotides) under bacterium 6RD. RNAcentral's name for it is "bacterial SSU rRNA". It matches the Rfam family "Bacterial small subunit ribosomal RNA", at positions 66 to 613 of the family's 1533-position model. The record is from RNAcentral.